Molecule: ribosomal RNA, 521 nt
Filed under: uncultured bacterium
Lineage: Bacteria
Description: bacterial SSU rRNA
Rfam family: Bacterial small subunit ribosomal RNA
Source: RNAcentral
GCCUGACGCAGCAACGCCGCGUGCGGGAUGACGGCUUCGGGUUGUAAACCGCUUUCAGCAGGGACGAAAAUGACGGUACCUGCAGAAGAAGCUCCGGCUAACUACGUGCCAGCAGCCGCGGUAAUACGUAGGGAGCAAGCGUUGUCCGGAUUUAUUGGGCGUAAAGAGCUCGUAGGCGGUUCCGUAAGUCGAGUGUGAAAAAUCUGGGCUCAACCCAGUGGAGCACUCGAUACUGCGGUGACUAGAGUCCGGUAGGGGAGUGUGGAAUUCCUGGUGUAGCGGUGAAAUGCGCAGAUAUCAGGAGGAACACCGACGGCGAAGGCAGCACUCUGGGCCGGUACUGACGCUGAGGAGCGAAAGCGUGGGGAGCAAACAGGAUUAGAUACCCUGGUAGUCCACGCCGUAAACGUUGGGCACUAGGUGUGGGAGGGAGUCAACCCCUUCCGUGCCGUAGCUAACGCAUUAAGUGCCCCGCCUGGGGAGUACGGCCGCAAGGCUAAAACUCAAAGGAAUUGACGGGG